UAUUCUGCACCUAACUUUCACAAUAUUCUUUUUCCUUUGCAACAAAUUGCUUAUGCUACAUCUCCUUUGCUGUGUGUUUCUUGUUUAAACAAAAGAACAUAGGCUUCA
Molecule: long non-coding RNA, 108 nt
Organism: Sapajus apella (tufted capuchin)
Lineage: Eukaryota; Metazoa; Chordata; Mammalia; Primates; Cebidae
Exons: 3
Source: RefSeq, a predicted model, not a curated record